GACGAACGCUGGCGGCGUGCUUAACACAUGCCAGUCGAACGGAAAGGCCAUGCUUUUGUGGGGUGCUCGAGUGGCGAACGGGUGAGUAACACGUGAGUGACAUGCACUUGACUUUGGGAUAACUUCAGGAAACUGGGGCUAAUACCCGAUAGGAGCUCCAGCUGCAUGGUGGGGGUAGGAAAGUUUCGGCGGUUGGGGCUGGACUCGCGGCUUAUCAGCCUGUUGGUGGAGUAGUGGCUUACCAAGGCUUUGACGGGUAGCCGGCCUGGGAGGGUGACCGGCCACAUGGCGACUGAGAGACGGCCCAGAAGCCUACGGGAGGCAGCAGUGGGGAAUAUGGCACAAUGGGGGGAAGCCUGAUGCAGCAACGCUGCGUGCGUGAUGACGGCCUUCGGGUUGUAAACCGAUUUCGCCGGUGACGAAGAGGGAGUGACGGUAAUGGGUAAAGAAGCACCGGCUAACUACGUG
RNAcentral lists this ribosomal RNA (468 nucleotides) under uncultured bacterium. Its description in RNAcentral is "partial 16S ribosomal RNA". It matches the Rfam family "Bacterial small subunit ribosomal RNA", at positions 28 to 507 of the family's 1533-position model. The record is from RNAcentral.